This 356-nucleotide long non-coding RNA is filed under the name Solanum tuberosum (potato). RNAcentral describes it as "long non-coding RNA (STUB_LNC009045)". The record is from RNAcentral. Lineage: Eukaryota; Viridiplantae; Streptophyta; Magnoliopsida; Solanales; Solanaceae.
AUACAUUUCUUUUAAAAUUGCAAGUUCUUUUUCUAGUUCUAUUAUUUUAGUAUUUUUUACUUCUUCUAAUUGUUGUACUUCCUUUUUUGCUUGUUGUUUUAUUUUUUCAAUUUCCGUUUUUCUAUCUAUUUCUUCAUUUUCUUUUGUUAUUCUUAUCAUAGCAGUUAAACUAUCUUCUAGUUUUACCGUUUCUUUUUCUAACAUUAAACUUAGAUUGUCACCUAUUUUCUUAUAUCUUCUUCCUAGAUUAGAAAAUAUUAUUUUUAUUUUUAACCCGUCAUAGUUUUCAUAUGUUUUUUCAUCUAUUAGGUAUUCUUCUUUAUUCAUUUAUAAAUUGUAUUGUAGUUUAUAUUCUA